UGGGGAAUAUUGCACAAUGGGGGAAAACCUGAUGCAGCGACGCCGCGUGAGUGAAGAAGUAUUUCGGUAUGUAAAGCUCUAUCAGCAGGGAAGAUGAUGACGGUACCUGAGUAAGAAGCCCCGGCUAACUACGUGCC
Molecule: ribosomal RNA, 137 nt
Filed under: uncultured bacterium
Lineage: Bacteria
Description: partial 16S ribosomal RNA
Rfam family: Bacterial small subunit ribosomal RNA
Source: RNAcentral